Molecule: ribosomal RNA, 253 nt
Filed under: uncultured bacterium
Lineage: Bacteria
Description: partial 16S ribosomal RNA
Rfam family: Bacterial small subunit ribosomal RNA
Source: RNAcentral
UACGUAGGGUGCAAGCGUUACUCGGAAUUACUGGGCGUAAAGCGUGCGCAGGCGGCUUUGCAAGACAGAUGUGAAAUCCCCGGGCUUAACCUGGGAACUGCAUUUGUGACUGCAUGGCUGGAGUGCGGCAGAGGGGGAUGGAAUUCCGCGUGUAGCAGUGAAAUGCGUAGAUAUGCGGAGGAAUACCAGUGGCGAAGGCGGCACGCUGGGCCAUAACUGACGCUAAGACUCGAAAGCAUGGGUAGCGAACGGG